RNAcentral lists this transfer RNA (99 nucleotides) under Friedmanniomyces endolithicus. RNAcentral's name for it is "tRNA-Ser". Lineage: Eukaryota; Fungi; Ascomycota; Dothideomycetes; Mycosphaerellales; Teratosphaeriaceae. The record is from RNAcentral.
AGAUCUAGCUUUGGCGGAGUGGUUAACGCGCUGCCCUGCUAAGGCAGUUCCUUCGGGAGCAUGUGGUACGACCGCUAAUGAAUAUCCCGAUCGGGUCUA